UAUCUUUGCCGCCAUACAUAAUAAUCAUUAAAUAAUAUUGGAAUG
This is a regulatory RNA element of Flavobacteriaceae bacterium, 45 nucleotides long. It matches the Rfam family "S15-Flavobacteria ribosomal protein leader". The record is from Rfam. NCBI's taxonomy places the organism in Bacteria, Pseudomonadati, Bacteroidota, Flavobacteriia, Flavobacteriales, Flavobacteriaceae.